CCUACGGGAGGCAGCAGUGGGGAAUUUUGGACAAUGGGCGCAAGCCUGAUCCAGCCAUGCCGCGUGCAGGAUGAAGGCCUUCGGGUUGUAAACUGCUUUUGUACGGAACGAAAAGACUCUGGUUAAUACCUGGGGUCCAUGACGGUACCGUAAGAAUAAGCACCGGCUAACUACGUGCCAGCAGCCGCGGUAAUACGUAGGGUGCGAGCGUUAAUCGGAAUUACUGGGCGUAAAGCGUGCGCAGGCGGUUAUAUAAGACAGAUGUGAAAUCCCCGGGCUCAACCUGGGAACUGCAUUUGUGACUGUAUAGCUAGAGUACGGCAGAGGGGGAUGGAAUUCCGCGUGUAGCAGUGAAAUGCGUAGAUAUGCGGAGGAACACCGAUGGCGAAGGCAAUCCCCUGGGCCUGUACUGACGCUCAUGCACGAAAGCGUGGGGAGCAAACAGGAUUAGAUACCCUGGUAGUCCACGCCCUAAACGAUGUCAACUGGUUGUUGGGUCUUCACUGACUCAGUAACGAAGCUAACGCGUGAAGUUGACCGCCGUGGGGAGUACGGCCGCGAAGGUUGAAACUCAAAUGAAUUGACGG
Molecule: ribosomal RNA, 587 nt
Filed under: uncultured bacterium
Lineage: Bacteria
Description: bacterial SSU rRNA
Rfam family: Bacterial small subunit ribosomal RNA
Source: RNAcentral